GGAUUGUGGCUCAGAGGUAGAGUGCUCACCUAGCAUGCAUGGGGCCCUGGGUUCGAUCCUCAGCACCA
This 68-nucleotide transfer RNA is filed under the name Marmota monax (woodchuck). RNAcentral's name for it is "tRNA.Ala". The record is from RNAcentral. Lineage: Eukaryota; Metazoa; Chordata; Mammalia; Rodentia; Sciuridae.